UACGAAGGACCCGAGCGUUAUCCGGAUUUAUUGGGUUUAAAGGGUGCGUAGGCGGACAUGCAAGUCAGUGGUGAAAUCUCCCUGCUCAACAGGGAAACUGCCAUUGAAACUAUGUGUCUUGAGUACAUUUGAGGCGGGUGGAAUGUGUCAUGUAGAGGUGAAAUUCUUAGAUAUGACACAGAACACCAAUUGCGAAGGCAGCUCGCUAAACUGUAACUGACGCUGAGGCACGAAAGCGUGGGGAUCAAACAGG
RNAcentral lists this ribosomal RNA (253 nucleotides) under uncultured bacterium. RNAcentral's name for it is "partial 16S ribosomal RNA". It matches the Rfam family "Bacterial small subunit ribosomal RNA", at positions 524 to 776 of the family's 1533-position model. The record is from RNAcentral.